UUUUUGAAUGAAAGGGCAGUGGAACUCCAUGUGUAGCGGUGAAAUGCGUAGAUAUAUCGGGCCAAAGAAUCACCAAGUGGCGAAGGCGGCUUUCUGGACUGUAACUGACGUUGAGGCUCUGAAAGUGUGGGUAGCAAACAGGAUUAGAUACCCUGGUAGUUCACACCGUAAACGAUGAGUGCUAGGUGUUUGAGGGUUUCCGCCCUUAAGUGCCGCAGCUAACGCAUUAAGCACUCCGCCUGGGGAGUACGACCGCAAGGUUGAAACUCAAAGGAAUUGACGGGGACCCGCACAAGCGGUGGAGCAUGUGGUUUAAUUUGAAGCAACGCGAAGAACCUUACCAGGUCUUGACAUCCCUUGACAACUCCAGAGAUGGAGUGUUCCCUUCGGGGACAAGGUGACAGGUGGUGCAUGGUUGUUGUCAGCUCGUGUCGUGAGAUGUUGGGUUAAGUCCCGCAACGAGCGCAACCCUUAUUUCUAGUUGCCAGCAUUCAGUUGGGCACUCUAGUGAGACUGCCGGUGACAAACCGGAGGAAGGUGGGGAUGACGUCAAAUCAUCAUGCCCCUUAUGACCUGGGCUACACACGUGCUACAAUGGCGUAUACAACGAGUUGCCAACCCGCGAGGGUGAGCUAAUCUCUUAAAGUACGUCUCAGUUCGGAUUGUAGGCUGCAACUCGCCUACCUGAAGUCGGAAUCGCUAGUAAUCGCGGAUCGAAGCACGCUUUGGCCUUGGUGAAUACGUUCCCGGGUCUUGUACACACCGCCCGUCACACCAUGGGUAUUUUUGUUAAAAAA
Molecule: ribosomal RNA, 797 nt
Filed under: Weissella cibaria
Lineage: Bacteria; Bacillati; Bacillota; Bacilli; Lactobacillales; Lactobacillaceae
Description: bacterial SSU rRNA
Rfam family: Bacterial small subunit ribosomal RNA
Source: RNAcentral